UCACCCAGACAGAGCUCUAUGCAGGUUAUGUGACCACCCAGCUCUCAGGCUGUUGGAUGUUCCUAGCAUUACAACCUGAGAUGAAGGACAAGAACAAGUAUAAAUCUGAGGGUGCACCACUCCCAUGGGAUGCAGACUGAUGCAAAAUCGGCUUCCCAUGGUCUGCAAUUCUGCUGCAUGCUUCCACAAGGGAUGAAGGCUUCAAGAAUGGAUGGUUCUAUGUGAGUUCAUGAUCUGCAGCUCCUACCAAGAGCCUGUUCAUACAGGGGCUCACCAUGGUCUGCAGCAGCCUCCCUCAGACCACAUCUACCUGCUCCAUCAUGGACUCCUCCAUGGGCUGUAGCAUUGUGGUACGCCAUGAGCAUCAGAGGGACAGCCUGCUCUACAAUGGGCCUCUCCAUGAAUUACAGGGGAAUUUCUUCUCUGGCAUUUGGAGCAUCUCCUCCCUUUGUUCACUGACCUUGGUGUCUACAAAGUAGUUUUGCUAUGUUAUCUCAGCCCUUGCAGCUUCUCCUGUGGAGUGUUGUGAAAGACAAAACUGUUUUUCUGUUUUGUCUCAAAGCUUGCUUCGUGAGGCCUUUCUGGUGAUAAGACUCUAACUGACAACUGCAAAUUUUCUAGGGGGGCGAGUGGUGGGUGUCACUGUGCCACAGUACCUCUGCUUAUGAUUGUAAAAAUAAGCAGAAGUGGGACAAGCAGACUUUUUUGGGGGUGCAGCUUGAUGGAGCUGACCACUACAAAAGGCGAUAAUGAUUGUGCAUGGCAAUGAAGGCACCAAUCCCUGCUGACUUAUCUGUUGGGCCAGGUAGGUCACAGUAACAGAGAGAAAAGAAGAAGAAAAAAAAAAGCCAGAGAAAUGGGGGAUUAAAAGGCCCUUACUAAACUAAGGACUCUGAAGAAGGAUGCCCAAAGAAACCUUUGAUGGAGAAUUGGCUGAGGAGAAAACCUCUUUGGAAGAAACCCUUUCCCCUCCUCCCCCGUGGCCUGCUUGCUACAAAGCUUCCUGGCUUUCUCCCAUCUCCCAUGGUGACCAGACGAGUUCCUGAAGAUCGUCAGACAUACUACGAACCUCACUGGACCCACGGUGGUGACUAUCUCUCUCUUGCUUUUUACAGACUCCUUGCUUUUCAUUUCCUAUCUCUUUUCUAUCGUCCAUCUUCUGUUCCCCGUAUCCCUAAGCAACUAGGAUUUGUAAUAAAUUGGUCGAGCUAAC
Gallus gallus (chicken) is the source of this 1213-nucleotide long non-coding RNA. The record is from Ensembl. NCBI's taxonomy places the organism in Eukaryota, Metazoa, Chordata, Aves, Galliformes, Phasianidae.